UUUCUUCCCACCACGGGGGGUGGCAGUACCUCAGUCCAUAGGGAUUUGGGUUGGGAACCGGAGGGUCACUGGUUCAAGUCCCCGUAUGGACCAAAAAUUAGGGAGUGUGGAUUGGUGGCUGGAGAGAUGCCACUUCACCUCCAGGGCACUGCCAGG
Molecule: long non-coding RNA, 156 nt
Organism: Etheostoma cragini (Arkansas darter)
Lineage: Eukaryota; Metazoa; Chordata; Actinopteri; Perciformes; Percidae
Exons: 3
Source: RefSeq, a predicted model, not a curated record